This 255-nucleotide ribosomal RNA is filed under the name uncultured bacterium. RNAcentral describes it as "partial 16S ribosomal RNA". It matches the Rfam family "Bacterial small subunit ribosomal RNA", at positions 524 to 776 of the family's 1533-position model. The record is from RNAcentral.
UACGUAGGGGGCAAGCGUUGUCCGGAAUCAUUGGGCGUAAAGCGCGUGUAGGCGGCUGGGUAAGUCCGCUCUGAAAGCCCGGGGCUCAACCCCCGGGAGGCGGGUGGAUACUGCUCAGCUCGAGUCCGGAAGAGGAGUGUGGAAUUCCUGGUGUAGCGGUGAAAUGCGCAGAUAUCAGGAGGAACACCAAUGGCGAAGGCAGCACUCUGGGACGGUACUGACGGCUGAGACGCGAAAGCGUGGGGAGCAAACAGG